GGUCCAAUGGUCUAGAGGUAAGAUACUUGCUUUGGGCGGUUUCUCCCAAAUUGGCUUGCAAGGGAUCCUGGGUUCGAAUCCCAGUUGGACCC
RNAcentral lists this transfer RNA (92 nucleotides) under Serpula lacrymans var. lacrymans S7.3. It matches the Rfam family "tRNA". From Rfam's summary of the family: Transfer RNA (tRNA) molecules are approximately 80 nucleotides in length. Their secondary structure includes four short double-helical elements and three loops (D, anti-codon, and T loops). Further hydrogen bonds mediate the characteristic L-shaped molecular structure. tRNAs have two regions of fundamental functional importance: the anti-codon, which is responsible for specific mRNA codon recognition, and the 3' end, to which the tRNAs corresponding amino acid is attached (by aminoacyl-tRNA synthetases). tRNAs cope with the degeneracy of the genetic code in two manners: having more than one tRNA (with a specific anti-codon) for a particular amino acid; and 'wobble' base-pairing, i.e. permitting non-standard base-pairing at the 3rd anti-codon position. The record is from Rfam by way of RNAcentral. Lineage: Eukaryota; Fungi; Basidiomycota; Agaricomycetes; Boletales; Serpulaceae.